This 253-nucleotide ribosomal RNA is filed under the name uncultured bacterium. Its description in RNAcentral is "partial 16S ribosomal RNA". It matches the Rfam family "Bacterial small subunit ribosomal RNA", at positions 524 to 776 of the family's 1533-position model. The record is from RNAcentral.
UACGGGGGGUGCUAGCGUUAUUCGGAAUCAUUGGGCGUAAAGGGCGCGUAGGCGGUCGCUUAAGUCAGAUGUGAAAGCCCUCGGCUUAACCGAGGAAGUGCAUUUGAUACUAAGUGACUUGAGUAUGGGAGAGGGAAGCGGAAUUCCUGGUGUAGCGGUGAAAUGCGUAGAUAUCAGGAGGAACACCGGUGGCGAAGGCGGCUUCCUGGACCAAUACUGACGCUGAGGCGCGAAGGCGUGGGGAGCAAACAGG